This 829-nucleotide ribosomal RNA is filed under the name uncultured bacterium. Its description in RNAcentral is "bacterial SSU rRNA". It matches the Rfam family "Bacterial small subunit ribosomal RNA", at positions 1 to 831 of the family's 1533-position model. The record is from RNAcentral.
UAGAGUUUGAUUAUGGCUCAGAUUGAACGCUGGCGGAAUGCUUUACACAUGCAAGUCGAGCGGCAGCGCGGGGGCAACCCUGGCGGCGAGCGGCGAACGGGUGAGUAACACAUCGGAACGUACCCUAUCGUGGGGGAUAACGAAUCGAAAGAUUCGCUAAUACCGCAUACGACCUGAGGGUGAAAGCGGGGGAUCGCAAGACCUCGCGCGAUUGGAGCGGCCGAUGUCGGAUUAGCUAGUUGGUGAGGUAAAGGCUCACCAAGGCGACGAUCCGUAGCUGGUCUGAGAGGACGACCAGCCACACUGGGACUGAGACACGGCCCAGACUCCUACGGGAGGCAGCAGUGGGGAAUUUUGGACAAUGGGGGCAACCCUGAUCCAGCCAUUCCGCGUGAGUGAAGAAGGCCUUCGGGUUGUAAAGCUCUUUCGGCAGGAACGAAACGGUGGAGGCUAAUACCUUUCAUCAAUGACGGUACCUGAAGAAGAAGCACCGGCUAACUACGUGCCAGCAGCCGCGGUAAUACGUAGGGUGCGAGCGUUAAUCGGAAUUACUGGGCGUAAAGCGUGCGCAGGCGGCUUUGUAAGACAGGUGUGAAAUCCCCGGGCUUAACCUGGGAACUGCGCUUGUGACUGCAAGGCUCGAGUGUGGCAGAGGGGGGUGGAAUUCCACGUGUAGCAGUGAAAUGCGUAGAGAUGUGGAGGAACACCGAUGGCGAAGGCAGCCCCCUGGGUCAACACUGACGCUCAUGYACGAAAGCGUGGGUAGCAAACAGGAUUAGAUACCCUGGUAGUCCACGCCCUAAACGAUGCCAACUAGGUGUUGGGGGAA